GGCCUUGACAUGCAGAGAACUUUCCAGAGAUGGAUUGGUGCCGUUCGGGAACUCUGACACAGGUGCUGCAGUGGCUGUCGUCAGCUCGUGUCGUGAGAUGGUUAGGGUUAAGUCCCGUAACGAGCGCAACCCUUGUCCUUAGUUACCAGCACGUUAUGGUGGGCACUCUAAGGAGACUGCCGGUGACAAACCGGAGGAAGGUGGGGAUGACGUCAAGUCAUCAUGGCCCUUACGGCCUGGGCUACACACGUGCUACAAUGGUCGGUACAAAGGGUUGCCAAGCCGCGAGGUGGAGCUAAUCCCAUAAAACCGAUCGUAGUCCGGAUCGCAGUCUGCAACUCGACUGCGUGAAGUCGGAAUCGCUAGUAAUCGUGAAUCAGAAUGUCACGGUGAAUACGUUCCCGGGCCUU
Molecule: ribosomal RNA, 410 nt
Filed under: uncultured Pseudomonas sp.
Lineage: Bacteria; Pseudomonadati; Pseudomonadota; Gammaproteobacteria; Pseudomonadales; Pseudomonadaceae
Description: bacterial SSU rRNA
Rfam family: Bacterial small subunit ribosomal RNA
Source: RNAcentral